CUGGUUCAAGAUCAGUGGAGAUAAACCAACACAGGUAGCAUCUGGACACAGUUACUCCCUCAAUGUGACUGUUGAUGGAGGACUGUACUUCUGUGAAGCAAGAAAUAGUCACGGCUGUGGGAAGUCAAAUGAAGUGCAGCUGGCUAUAAAAGGGCAAGAAGAGACUGUUAACACAAUGGCUUCUGGGGUUGCAGCAGGAACUCUGGGGGUCAUUUUGCUUAUCAGCCUGAUCAGUCUUUUUGUAUGGAGGAGAAACUCGAGGCUCCACGAUGGACUUGAAAGGACGGACAAUUCACAGGGACAGGUGGGAAUAAGGC
Long non-coding RNA from Oncorhynchus masou masou (cherry salmon), 317 nucleotides. RefSeq lists it as uncharacterized. The record is from RefSeq and is a predicted model, not a curated record. NCBI's taxonomy places the organism in Eukaryota, Metazoa, Chordata, Actinopteri, Salmoniformes, Salmonidae. The transcript has 3 exons.